UGGGUUUUCAUUUCCCUUUAACUGACAAAUAUUAGAAUCAGACAACGUGCAUCUCUGCUUACUGCUGGACAAGGCCUACAGGUAGAGAUGGUAUUUCAGACGAAGUAGGAUGGCCAGAAGGCUUAGGCAAACUGUGAGGCAUUGAGCCCUUCAGGUCUAAAACAGAAGCUUUGGAUACUUAGUGAGCAGCUGCUCAGGGCUUAGUUAGAUACUUGUCAAUUACAUCUUCGAGGGGAAAAAAAGUAAGUAUUGGUAUGUCUAGGUCCUAACAGCUCCUGUAAAAUAUUGCUGGAUUACUUGUAAGCAUUGUUUGGGACAUACAAAGGGUGGACGAAUUUUAUGAGGUAGUCUUUCUGUGUCUUAGGUGUGGGAAAAAUUUGUUUCUUUUGAAUGACCUAGUAAGAAAAUAUAAACCUGAAAGCUCCUACAGUAUACUUAAGAGUGUGCAUCCCCCAGAACUGACUCAAAUGUGCUUCAAAUUGUCUUCCCUUUCAAUUUCUGCAGGCUCUUGUGGGAAACCCAGAAAGUGGCUUUUACAUUUACAGCCUUUCUUGCUCUGACACGGGCAGAACGAUCUUCAAUGUGGAAGCUGAAGCCCUGUCCCUGGGGUAGUGAGUCCAUGCAGAAGGUCACAUCUGACUGACAGUGCUGAGGAUCCCGGGCAGCUCUCCGACUCCACGUGCCUGUGCCGUCCCCUGGGAUGGGGCCUCCUGCUGCCCUGGCCACUGGGGACCUUGCAGGGGACAUGGAGGCGCUGGCUGUCACAGCACCAGAAGCAGCACAGAAAGAUGCAACAGCAUCACGAGCAGAGGUGGAUGCCUUAAAAGCAGCAGCAGUAAGAGGGGAGAUGGAAAGUCCAAAGGGAAGUCCCGGUGGAAACCUGGUCAACCCUGACAGAGCAGCGGUGGAAGCAUCAGAAAACCCAGAGGCGGAAAGAGUCGCUGAAGCAUUUGCCCGAGCAGCAGAAAAAAUAGCGAAAGCAGAAGUAACCAAGGUGUUGCAAUCAGCAAUAGCUGAGCUCAAAGAGAAGAAGAGGAGCAUGUGGCUAAAGCAGAGGAACACCAUUCAACUGGAGAAGGAGGACUUGGUAAAAGAGGGAGAGAUGAUAUGAGAUGGCGGAGAGGUGGCAUUGUGGGUCGUACCCAUAGGGGGGCUGGUACCCUGAUACUGAGUGCUAUGGUCACUCCAGGAAUGCAGUAGGGCUGUCCAUUUUGUCUUUUUUGUGAGUGCCCAUACUAUUAAAAAAUAAAGAUAUGCCAUAUUUGAAGACCCUUGUCUCU
Molecule: long non-coding RNA, 1280 nt
Filed under: Anser brachyrhynchus (Pink-footed goose)
Lineage: Eukaryota; Metazoa; Chordata; Aves; Anseriformes; Anatidae
Description: lncRNA (ENSABRG00000009576.1)
Source: RNAcentral